This 1369-nucleotide ribosomal RNA is filed under the name uncultured bacterium. RNAcentral describes it as "bacterial SSU rRNA". It matches the Rfam family "Bacterial small subunit ribosomal RNA", at positions 28 to 1381 of the family's 1533-position model. The record is from RNAcentral.
GACGAACGCUGGCGGCGUGCCUAAUACAUGCAAGUAGAACGCUGAAGAGAGGAGCUUGCUCUUCUUGGAUGAGUUGCGAACGGGUGAGUAACGCGUAGGUAACCUGCCUUGUAGCGGGGGAUAACUAUUGGAAACGAUAGCUAAUACCGCAUAACAAUGGAUGACACAUGUCAUUUAUUUGAAAGGGGCAAUUGCUCCACUACAAGAUGGACCUGCGUUGUAUUAGCUAGUAGGUGGGGUAACGGCUCACCUAGGCGACGAUACAUAGCCGACCUGAGAGGGUGAUCGGCCACACUGGGACUGAGACACGGCCCAGACUCCUACGGGAGGCAGCAGUAGGGAAUCUUCGGCAAUGGGGGCAACCCUGACCGAGCAACGCCGCGUGAGUGAAGAAGGUUUUCGGAUCGUAAAGCUCUGUUGUAAGUCAAGAACGAGUGUGAGAGUGGAAAGUUCACACUGUGACGGUAGCUUACCAGAAAGGGACGGCUAACUACGUGCCAGCAGCCGCGGUAAUACGUAGGUCCCGAGCGUUGUCCGGAUUUAUUGGGCGUAAAGCGAGCGCAGGCGGUUUGAUAAGUCUGAAGUUAAAGGCUGUGGCUCAACCAUAGUUCGCUUUGGAAACUGUCAAACUUGAGUGCAGAAGGGGAGAGUGGAAUUCCAUGUGUAGCGGUGAAAUGCGUAGAUAUAUGGAGGAACACCGGUGGCGAAAGCGGCUCUCUGGUCUGUAACUGACGCUGAGGCUCGAAAGCGUGGGGAGCGAACAGGAUUAGAUACCCUGGUAGUCCACGCCGUAAACGAUGAGUGCUAGGUGUUGGAUCCUUUCCGGGAUUCAGUGCCGCAGCUAACGCAUUAAGCACUCCGCCUGGGGAGUACGACCGCAAGGUUGAAACUCAAAGGAAUUGACGGGGGCCCGCACAAGCGGUGGAGCAUGUGGUUUAAUUCGAAGCAACGCGAAGAACCUUACCAGGUCUUGACAUCCCGAUGCUAUUUCUAGAGAUAGAAAGUUACUUCGGUACAUCGGUGACAGGUGGUGCAUGGUUGUCGUCAGCUCGUGUCGUGAGAUGUUGGGUUAAGUCCCGCAACGAGCGCAACCCCUAUUGUUAGUUGCCAUCGUUCAGUUGGGCACUCUAGCGAGACUGCCGGUAAUAAACCGGAGGAAGGUGGGGAUGACGUCAAAUCAUCAUGCCCCUUAUGACCUGGGCUACACACGUGCUACAAUGGUUGGUACAACGAGUUGCGAGUCGGUGACGGCAAGCUAAUCUCCUAAAGCCAAUCUCAGUUCGGAUUGUAGGCUGCAACUCGCCUACAUGAAGUCGGAAUCGCUAGUAAUCGCGGAUCAGCACGCCGCGGUGAAUACGUUCCCGGGCCU